GGUUAACCUAUUCCUGGCCAGAAGUGGAUGUUUCAGUUCAUCUCUUCCUGGUACUCGAAUGAGUGUCUUUUCAUUUACAUUUUGUAGGAGCAUGAUCAGAGCACACACAUACCCUAGCCCAGGGCCAUCUUAACAGCAUAAUAAGCCGCCGGGGAAAGCUUAUAUUUAUUGGUACCUCCAACAAAUACAAUAUAUACACACAGACUGCUGAAUACACAGAAAGACAGACUGCUGAAUACACAUACAUAGACAGUUGAAUAUAUACAGAAUAUAUACAGACUGCUAAACACACACACACACACACACACAAAGACAAAGUACACACACAGACAGACUGCUGAAUACACACACACACUGCUGAAUGCACAAGCACAGACUGCUUAAUACACACAGACUGCUAAAAAUUUACACACAGACUGCUGAAUACACACACAGACUGCUGAUUACACACACACAUACACACUGAGUGCUGAAUACACACACACACUGACUGCUGAAUACACACGCACUGACUGCUGAAUACACAUAC
Molecule: non-coding RNA, 529 nt
Organism: Pelobates cultripes (western spadefoot toad)
Lineage: Eukaryota; Metazoa; Chordata; Amphibia; Anura; Pelobatidae
Source: the annotation of a GenBank genome assembly